UAAGUGCAUCCCACACAUAUAUACACACACCCCACAUCUUUUCUAUCCACUCGUCUGUCAGUGGGUCUAGGUGGCUUCCAUGUCCUGGCUCUUGUGAACAGUGCUGCAGUGAACGUUGGGGUGCCUGUGUCCUUUUGAAUCGUGGUUUCUCAGGGUGUGUGCCCAGGAGUGGGAUUGCUGGGUUGUAUGGCAGUUCUACUUUCAGCUUUUUUAGGAACCUCCGUACUUCCCCACAGUGGCUGAAUCAACUUACAUUCCCACCAACAGAGCCCGGGAGUUAGUUCCCUUGUCCUUGCACCCUUUCCAGCACUUGUUUGUAGGCUGUUUCGGCGAUGGCCGUCCUGAGCUUGUGAGGCGCCUCACUGUAGUUCGGUUUGCAUUCCUCUGACAGCUAGUGGUGCUGGACAUCUUUUCAUGUGCCCCUGGGGCAUCUGUCUGUCUUCUUUGGGGAAAUGUCUGUUUACGUCUUGGGUCCAUUUUUUGAUUGGGCUGUUUACUGCAGGGAGAUCACCUGCUCAUUUUAGUGAUGGAGAAGCUGAAGCUGAGAAAUCUGCCCAAACCUCAGCAGUGAGAGGGAUGGGGCUGCCGCUGGAACGGGCCUCUCAGGUCCCACCCCUGUGUUCACCACCCCGUGAGCUGUCUGCUGUGAAGACGCACAUCCAGGAGCACACACAGAAGGACCUGCAAGUGCCAACAGCUCAACCGGUUAUUUACCUAAACUCAUCUUUGUUGAGCACCUAUUAUGUGCCAUGCAUCAUGCUGGGAUAUGGAGGUACACUGCCGAACUUGACCUAGUAUUGGCACAAGAUCCUCGACCUGAUGGAAGGUUAGAUAAACAAGAAAAUUACCAACAGAGGAGAGAACGAAGACUGAAGGGCCGUGAUCACAUCUGGCUGGGUGAGGCAGAGAAAGAUUUUAAGACAGGUCCCCAGCAUCCGCGCGGUGCGUCUUUGGGCCCGAGGACCAGCUGGCUCGGCAUAGCCCAGGCCGAUCUCGGGACGAGAAGCUGGGGUAAGCGGUGGAGGAUCCCUCCUGGGUCCACUGCGUGGGCGACGUGCCGGUGCAAGCGCCGCCUCAUCCGGGGAAGGUCGAUCGAGGCCGCGCCACGCUGGACUGGGGGUGGAUGCGAAUGCACCUUCGGAUGCUCUGGUCCCCAGCCCUUCCGGACCGAGGUUCCCCUCACUCCGCGGGAAUCGGGGACCGCGGGAGCUGGGGUGGCUGAAAGAACAGGGUAGCCUCCUUGGCAAAGACCGCGGGGGAGGAGACUCCCUGGCGAGGGAAGCGAGCGCUGCCGAGGCCGCCGGUCCCUUUAAGAGGCCGGGCUGGCUCUGCGGCGAUCCCACCUGACCGCCUGCCUGGUGCAGUUCUGCGGGCCGUGUCCCCGGGAGAAGGAUCGGAGCCGGGCCGGGCCACAGGACCCGGCGCAGGGGAGGGAGGGGUCCAGUCCGGAGCUGGGCGGGGCCUCCGGUUCCCGGAGCGCCGCA
RNAcentral lists this long non-coding RNA (1484 nucleotides) under Capra hircus (goat). Its description in RNAcentral is "lncRNA (ENSCHIG00010002772.1)". The record is from RNAcentral. Lineage: Eukaryota; Metazoa; Chordata; Mammalia; Artiodactyla; Bovidae.